Molecule: ribosomal RNA, 550 nt
Filed under: uncultured bacterium
Lineage: Bacteria
Description: bacterial SSU rRNA
Rfam family: Bacterial small subunit ribosomal RNA
Source: RNAcentral
GCUUACACAUGCAAGUCGAACGCACCUUCGGGUGAGUGGCAGACGGGUGAGUAACGCGUGGGAACCUUCCCUGUGGUACGGAAUAACUUCGGGAAACCGAAGCUAAUACCGUAUAUCUCCUCCGGGAGAAAGAUUUAUCGCCAUAGGAUGGGCCCGCGUUGGAUUAGCUAGUUGGUAGGGUAAUGGCCUACCAAGGCAACGAUCCAUAGCUGGUCUGAGAGGAUGAUCAGCCACACUGGGACUGAGACACGGCCCAGACUCCUACGGGAGGCAGCAGUGGGGAAUAUUGGACAAUGGGCGCAAGCCUGAUCCAGCCAUGCCGCGUGAGUGAAGAAGGCCUUAGGGUUGUAAAGCUCUUUUGGCGGGGACGAUAAUGACGGUACCCGCAGAAUAAGCCCCGGCUAACUUCGUGCCAGCAGCCGCGGUAAUACGAAGGGGGCUAGCGUUGUUCGGAAUCACUGGGCGUAAAGCGCACGCAGGCGGAUUGAUAAGUCAGGGGUGAAAUCCCGGGGCUCAACCUCGGAAUUGCCUUUGAUACUGUCUGUCUUGA